Molecule: long non-coding RNA, 1065 nt
Filed under: Homo sapiens (human)
Lineage: Eukaryota; Metazoa; Chordata; Mammalia; Primates; Hominidae
Description: HSALNT0129190
Source: RNAcentral
GUGGAAUGAAUGGUCCCCCCUGCAGCUCAGCCUCAUCUCCUUAAUGGAUCCUAAUUACCCCUGUCCUGCUUAUAGCUUCUCUCCAGGACCCACUUGUCAGGAUGAUGGAUGAGGUGACUGGGAGGUGGGGCCAGCUGGGACUGGAGGAAUCCCCCCACUGUCUAGUAGGGCGGGGACGCAGGAACUUUCAGUCAGUCCCAAAGAUUCUGAGGAAGAGAAGACAACAUUGCAGGAUGAGCUCUUCUCCCCUUUUGUCCCCAAAACUUGGGCCAGUUCUAGCAAACUCAUACACCACUCCAGUAGCCCUGUGUAGAGGCCCACAUGGAGAGGAACAAAAUUGCCAGCACUAACUCAUGAGGCAUAUGAGUGAACCAACUUAAGAGCAUAUCCUCCAGCCCUGGUCAAGCCUUCAGAUGACUUCAGUCCCUCAGCCCUCAUGUGCUCCAGUUGAGGCCCCAGACAUCAUGGAGCAGAGGUAAGACAUCCUCCCUGUGCCCGUCUGAAUUCCUGACUCACCUAAACCAUGAGAUGAUACAUGAUUACUGUUUAUGAUGUCAUUAGGCUUGGGGUGGUUUGUUAUGCAGCCAUAUAUAACCAGUGUUCCAGGUCCGCUGUGAUGGAGUGAGACAUUUAACUCAGGCGGAGGGGGGAAUGCCAUUUUGACAAGCUUAUAUGGCCACAGAUCUAAGCUGUGCCAUCAGCAAAGCAGUGUUUCCAGAUGAUGUGGUCAAGCCUUCCUUGAGGAGUACAUAGCCCCUGCUAGUAUUUGGGGAAUGGCUUUAAAAGUCUACCUUGGCAGGCGUCAGCUGUGGCCUGGGAGAUUGGCAGGAGUGGUAGAGGCCAGCAGGGCCAGGGGAAGGAAGUGGUUUAACCCUUCACUCUUGAAGGGAGCUGGGAUAUUGGGGAAGUGUCAGGAAGAGGAACCUUGGAAGAGCAACCUGAUACCAGGCCAGGGAGAUAAUGCCAGAACCUCAAAUGUGGGCCAAUGCUUUCCUGCCCAGGCCAGGAAGCUUGCCUCUACAGUGAAGAGUAAGGGGCCUCAGCCCCUCAAUGAAGAAAUAAAUA